Molecule: ribosomal RNA, 292 nt
Filed under: uncultured bacterium
Lineage: Bacteria
Description: partial 16S ribosomal RNA
Rfam family: Bacterial small subunit ribosomal RNA
Source: RNAcentral
GUGUCAGCAGCCGCGGUAAUACGAAGGUGGCAAGCGUUGUUCGGAUUCACUGGGCGUACAGGGUGUGUAGGCGGUUUGGUAAGCCUUUUGUGAAAGCUUCGGGCCUAACCCGGAAAGCGCAGAGGGGACUGCCAGGCUAGAGGACGGGAGAGGAGCGCGGAAUUCCCGGUGUAGCGGUGAAAUGCGUAGAGAUCGGGAGGAAGGCCGGUGGCGAAGGCGGCGCUCUGGAACGUAUCUGACGCUGAGACACGAAAGCGUGGGGAGCAAACAGGAUUAGAAACCCCCGUAGUCC